Molecule: ribosomal RNA, 1470 nt
Filed under: metagenome
Description: bacterial SSU rRNA
Rfam family: Bacterial small subunit ribosomal RNA
Source: RNAcentral
AGAGUUUGAUCCUGGCUCAGGACGAACGCUGGCGGCACGCUUAACACAUGCAAGUCGAACGAGAGAAGAGGAGCUUGCUUUUCUGAUCUAGUGGCGGACGGGUGAGUAACACGUGAGCAAUCUGCCUUUCAGAGGGGGAUACCGAUUGGAAACGAUCGUUAAUACCGCAUAACAUAAUUGAACCGCAUGAUUUGAUUAUCAAAGAUUUAUCGCUGAAAGAUGAGCUCGCGUCUGAUUAGCUAGUUGGUAAGGUAACGGCUUACCAAGGCGACGAUCAGUAGCCGGACUGAGAGGUUGAUCGGCCACAUUGGGACUGAGACACGGCCCAGACUCCUACGGGAGGCAGCAGUGGGGAAUAUUGCACAAUGGAGGAAACUCUGAUGCAGCGAUGCCGCGUGAGGGAAGAAGGUUUUAGGAUUGUAAACCUCUGUCUUCAGGGACGAAAAAAGACGGUACCUGAGGAGGAAGCUCCGGCUAACUACGUGCCAGCAGCCGCGGUAAUACGUAGGGAGCGAGCGUUGUCCGGAAUUACUGGGUGUAAAGGGAGCGUAGGCGGGAUCGCAAGUCAGAUGUGAAAACUAUGGGCUUAACCCAUAAACUGCAUUUGAAACUGUGGUUCUUGAGUGAAGUAGAGGUAAGCGGAAUUCCUAGUGUAGCGGUGAAAUGCGUAGAUAUUAGGAGGAACAUCAGUGGCGAAGGCGGCUUACUGGGCUUUAACUGACGCUGAGGCUCGAAAGCGUGGGGAGCAAACAGGAUUAGAUACCCUGGUAGUCCACGCCGUAAACGAUGAUUACUAGGUGUGGGGGGACUGACCCCUUCCGUGCCGCAACAAACGCAAUAAGUAAUCCACCUGGGGAGUACGACCGCAAGGUUGAAACUCAAAGGAAUUGACGGGGGCCCGCACAAGCAGUGGAGUAUGUGGAUUAAUUCGAAGCAACGCGAAGAACCUUACCAGGUCUUGACAUCGUAUGCAUAGCUCAGAGAUGAGUGAAAUCUCUUCGGAGACAUAUAGACAGGUGGUGCAUGGUUGUCGUCAGCUCGUGUCGUGAGAUGUUGGGUUAAGUCCCGCAACGAGCGCAACCCUUACUGUCAGUUGCUACGCAAGAGCACUCUAGCAGGACUGCCGUUGACAAAACGGAGGAAGGUGGGGAUGACGUCAAAUCAUCAUGCCCCUUAUGACCUGGGCCUCACACGUACUACAAUGGCUGUCAACAGAGGGAAGCAAAGCCGCGAGGUGGAGCGAACCCCUAAAAGCAGUCUUAGUUCGGAUUGUAGGCUGCAACCCGCCUACAUGAAGUCGGAAUUGCUAGUAAUCGCAGAUCAGCAUGCUGCGGUGAAUACGUUCCCGGGCCUUGUACACACCGCCCGUCACGCCAUGGGAGUCGGUAACACCCGAAGCCUGUAGUCUAACCGCAAGGAGGACGCAGUCGAAGGUGGGAUUGAUGACUGGGGUGAAGUCGUAACAAGGUA